GGAGUAUUCCAGAGUAUCGAUUUUCCACAGAGAACGUGAGUGUACUAAUUAAGAUCCAAGAUCGUCCAAGGAUAACUAUAUAAUUAUUUUUGGUGGGAAGAGAGGAAGUUUCCUGAGAGUUCUCUAGUUGAUCUAAGAAUCAAGAAUUACUUCAAGAUUAUCUAUUUCGGGACAUCAGAACAUUAACCACAGAAAGAGAUGAGAAGGGGGCUAGGAAGCUCCGACUACGGUCCUACAAACACCGAUCCGAACGUGGUGGAAUACGUCGGCCGUUAGGGCUGUCACUACCCGGGCUACCACAACAAUCCGCAGGAUUAGGUGCAAUUCCAGGUAAUUGCAAGACUAAACACCACGUCUAAUCUAUUAAUUACUACUCUAAUGUUUCAAAGAUUAGAGCACUUGAUGCAAGCGGGAAUCCAAUAAAUAACUUGAAUGUAAAUAAAAGUAAUUAGAGAACUCAGGAGUUAUGAGUUGAAGAACCUGGAGAACGAUGAAGAACGAACCAGAUGCUG
Molecule: long non-coding RNA, 512 nt
Filed under: Sorghum bicolor (sorghum)
Lineage: Eukaryota; Viridiplantae; Streptophyta; Magnoliopsida; Poales; Poaceae
Description: long non-coding RNA (SBIC_LNC000182)
Source: RNAcentral